UACGGGGGGGGCAAGCGUUGUUCGGAAUUACUGGGCGUAAAGGGCUCGUAGGCGGCCAACUAAGUCCGACGUGAAAUCCCCAGGCUUAACCUGGGAACUGCGUCGGAUACUGGAUGGCUUGAAUUCGGGAGAGGGAUGCAGAAUUCCAGGUGUAGCGGUGAAAUGCGUAGAUAUCUGGAGGAAUACCGGUGGCGAAGGCGGCAUCCUGGACCGACAUUGACGCUGAUGAGCGAAAGCCAGGGGAGCAAACGGG
This 253-nucleotide ribosomal RNA is filed under the name uncultured bacterium. RNAcentral describes it as "partial 16S ribosomal RNA". It matches the Rfam family "Bacterial small subunit ribosomal RNA", at positions 524 to 776 of the family's 1533-position model. The record is from RNAcentral.